AUUUCUACCUGUUCAUGAUGAUGAGUAAGGUCUGAGAGUGGGAGCGACUGGAGGAAAUAGGUGAUUCUUACCAGUGGUUCUCAAAGGCUCUCACACAGUUCUGUGAAUGCCUGGGACAUGGAGAGACUGGUUGCCAGCAGGAAGAGAGGAAGCCCCUUCAUCAGCUUCCACCAAGAAUUUCAGGUUUACAAUUUACGCACUUAUAAUCCAAGGGGAAAAAAGAUGUAGGGAUGUUCAGCCUGUUUCCAGCCUGAAGCAGGAUCACUUUGUGGACGCCCAAGGGACCUCUGCAAAAGCCUGUCAGGCGUAGUCCCCUCUACCAGAUGAGCAGCCCACAGGUCAGCAGUUCCUCAGAGAUGCAGAUGUGAGGUGGAAAUCUGCUUGUAUCACCACAGUGGUGAGUACUGCCGUCACCUUGCCGAGGUCUAAGGUGGUGUGCCAGAUGUGCCUGAAACAAAGGGUAGAAAAUGACUUCACUUUUAACUCUGAAAAAGACAAAAUCUCCAGCAUAUGAUUAUAUGAACGGCCCUCAAGUGUUUGAAGAUCUGUUCUUUUAUUGUCCACACACACACAUGCACACACACACACACACAGCUGGAUGUGGCAGACUGUAGAUGUGGGCAAACUCUCUGAUGCACUUUUGCCCAUGAAUCUAGCUGGCCUGUGUUUGGCUGAGAGUACAGG
This 684-nucleotide long non-coding RNA is filed under the name Felis catus (domestic cat). RNAcentral describes it as "lncRNA (ENSFCAG00000052816.1)". The record is from RNAcentral. Lineage: Eukaryota; Metazoa; Chordata; Mammalia; Carnivora; Felidae.